ACGAACGCUGGCGGCGUGCUUAACACAUGCAAGUCGAACGGUGAAGGGACCGGUUUUUGCUGGUUCUGGAUGAGUGGCGAACGGGUGAGUAACACGUGAGUAACCUGCCCCCUUCUUCUGGAUAACCGCAUGAAAGUGUGGCUAAUACGGGAUAUUCUGCGCCCGCUGCAUGGUGGGUGUGGGAAAGAUAUUGUUUCGGUGGGGGAUGGGCUCGCGGCCUAUCAGCUUGUUGGUGGGGUGAUGGCCUACCAAGGCGGUGACGGGUAGCCGGCCUGAGAGGGUGGACGGUCACACUGGGACUGAGACACGGCCCAGACUCCUACGGGAGGCAGCAGUGGGGAAUAUUGCACAAUGGGCGCAAGCCUGAUGCAGCGACGCCGCGUGAGGGAUGGAGGCCUUCGGGUUGUAAACCUCUUUCGCCAGUGAAGCAGGCCUGUCCCUUUUGUGGGUGGGUUGACGGUAGCUGGAUAAGAAGCGCCGGCUAACUACGUG
This 492-nucleotide ribosomal RNA is filed under the name uncultured bacterium. Its description in RNAcentral is "partial 16S ribosomal RNA". It matches the Rfam family "Bacterial small subunit ribosomal RNA", at positions 29 to 507 of the family's 1533-position model. The record is from RNAcentral.